RNAcentral lists this ribosomal RNA (1439 nucleotides) under uncultured organism. RNAcentral's name for it is "SSU rRNA". It matches the Rfam family "Bacterial small subunit ribosomal RNA". The record is from RNAcentral.
CUCAGGAUGAACGCUAGCUACAGGCUUAACACAUGCAAGUCGAGGGGCAGCAUGGUCUUAGCUUGCUAAGGCCGAUGGCGACCGGCGCACGGGUGAGUAACACGUAUCCAACCUGCCGUCUACUCUUGGACAGCCUUCUGAAAGGAAGAUUAAUACAAGAUGGCAUCAUGAGUCCGCAUGUUCACAUGAUUAAAGGUAUUCCGGUAGACGAUGGGGAUGCGUUCCAUUAGAUAGUAGGCGGGGUAACGGCCCACCUAGUCUUCGAUGGAUAGGGGUUCUGAGAGGAAGGUCCCCCACAUUGGAACUGAGACACGGUCCAAACUCCUACGGGAGGCAGCAGUGAGGAAUAUUGGUCAAUGGGCGAGAGCCUGAACCAGCCAAGUAGCGUGAAGGAUGACUGCCCUAUGGGUUGUAAACUUCUUUUAUAAAGGAAUAAAGUCGGGUAUGGAUACCCGUUUGCAUGUACUUUAUGAAUAAGGAUCGGCUAACUCCGUGCCAGCAGCCGCGGUAAUACGGAGGAUCCGAGCGUUAUCCGGAUUUAUUGGGUUUAAAGGGAGCGUAGAUGGAUGUUUAAGUCAGUUGUGAAAGUUUGCGGCUCAACCGUAAAAUUGCAGUUGAUACUGGAUAUCUUGAGUGCAGUUGAGGCAGGCGGAAUUCGUGGUGUAGCGGUGAAAUGCUUAGAUAUCACGAAGAACUCCGAUUGCGAAGGCAGCCUACUAAGCUGCAACUGACAUUGAGGCUCGAAAGUGUGGGUAUCAAACAGGAUUAGAUACCCUGGUAGUCCACACGGUAAACGAUGAAUACUCGCUGUUUGCGAUAUACAGCAAGCGGCCAAGCGAAAGCGUUAAGUAUUCCACCUGGGGAGUACGCCGGCAACGGUGAAACUCAAAGGAAUUGACGGGGGCCCGCACAAGCGGAGGAACAUGUGGUUUAAUUCGAUGAUACGCGAGGAACCUUACCCGGGCUUAAAUUGCAGAUGAAUGACGGUGAAAGCCGUAAGCCGCAAGGCAUCUGUGAAGGUGCUGCAUGGUUGUCGUCAGCUCGUGCCGUGAGGUGUCGGCUUAAGUGCCAUAACGAGCGCAACCCUUGUUGUCAGUUACUAACAGGUUCCGCUGAGGACUCUGACAAGACUGCCAUCGUAAGAUGUGAGGAAGGUGGGGAUGACGUCAAAUCAGCACGGCCCUUACGUCCGGGGCUACACACGUGUUACAAUGGGGGGUACAGAGGGCCGCUACCACGCGAGUGGAUGCCAAUCCCCAAAACCUCUCUCAGUUCGGACUGGAGUCUGCAACCCGACUCCACGAAGCUGGAUUCGCUAGUAAUCGCGCAUCAGCCACGGCGCGGUGAAUACGUUCCCGGGCCUUGUACACACCGCCCGUCAAGCCAUGGGAGCCGGGGGUACCUGAAGUGCGUAACCGCGAGGAGCGCCCUAGGGUAAA